This 4655-nucleotide long non-coding RNA is filed under the name Sus scrofa (pig). RNAcentral describes it as "lncRNA (ENSSSCG00030020083.1)". The record is from RNAcentral. Lineage: Eukaryota; Metazoa; Chordata; Mammalia; Artiodactyla; Suidae.
UCUAGGGCCGCUCCCGCAGCAUAUGGAGGUUCCUAGGCUAGGAGUCUAAUUGGAGCUGUAGCCACUGGCGUACACCACAGCCACAGCAACACUGGAUCUGAGCUGCAUCUACAACCUACACCACAGCUCACGGCCACGCUGUAUUCUUAACCCACUGACUGAGGCCCAGGGAUCGAACCCAAUUGGAGAUUUUAAAAAGUAGAUACACCUAGUCCUAAUCUCUUAAUUUAUAGAUGAAGAGCCUGGGGCUCAGAAAGGUUGAAUACCCAUGUCACACAAAUUAAUAGUAGAUGCAGGCUUUAGUCUCCCAUAGUUGUAACAAUAAUAAUUGAAAUGGCUUGGAUUGUGAUCACCACAGCAAUUGCUCUAAUCCUUCAUAUGCACCAGCCUAGUGCUAAGUGAUCUGCAUGCACUGCCUCAUUUAAUAGCCUAACAAGGUCAGCACUACCACUAUGCCCAUUUUACAGGUCACCCUGCUGGUAUGGCAGAGAAAGAGUUUGUUAUGUGCUGUCUGAUUUGAUAUCCCCUGCCCCCAUGUGCUUUUCAUGUGCAGGGCCAUUUUCCUUACAUGAUUGUGAUGAAAAAGAAAAAGAAAAACAAAACUGUGAGUCAAUAUAUACUAAAAUACUAAAUAUAAUCAAGUGCCAAACAAAGGCAGAGCUAAUGGAUGCUUAGGGUGUUAAGAAAGGGUGGUCAAGUCCUGCUUGCCUCUCCAUGGAGAGUGUAUGGGGAAAGCUGCAGAGGGGGUGCUGAGCACAGUGUAAGGGGAGGGAGUAUGAGGAGCCUAGCUUUACUAAAAGGAGUGUGCAGUGGGGGGGCUAGACUGAAGGUGUUAAUGACGACCUUUGGCACCCUCAAAAGGAGUAACCGCUUUUUUUAGUUAUUGUUACUACUUCAGCUUGGUUGACUUCAAAAAUUUAAGGCAGGUCUUUUUCACCUGGUGUUCCAACCGCUUUUAAUUUACAUAUUAACUUGCUGAUUUUGAGGAGCAAGGCACAAUGAAGGGUUAUUUCAAAACUAAUGCAUUGUACUGCAAGGUAUUAUGUGACUAUGCAUAAUGACAUUUUUGGUUUUUCAUCCUAAAAUAUCAAGGAAAUAAAGUGUCCAGCAAAUGAUCUUUCUCCUAGGCUUUACCUUCACAGGCUGCUUUGGAUAGGUCUGCAUUUGCUUUUGAGAACUAGAUGAUUAUGAAUUGAUCACUGGAAGGAGAUUUUUAAAAGUGCAGUAUUUUGACAAUUUUGGAGGCGGGGAAGAAGAAAAAGGGAGUAACUGCAUAGGAUAAUUAAGUUCCAUCUUUGUAUUCAUCUUAGAAGUUCAGGCCUGUUUAAUUUACCUACUCUAAACUACUGCAGAGGAAACAUUAACAGCAGUGGAGGUAUAAAUAUUACAUAGUACUGCAAUGCUUUCAUUAAAACCAAACAAAAACAAAAGCCUUGUAGUUUUAAAAAAUACUGGCACAUCUGCUGUACUGGUUAAGAAACCCAAAUGUAGCUGUGUAGCACCAGCUUAAACUAAUACCGUAAGCAGAGAAAGCUCCCUUGUCUUUUCUUAAGCCGACUGACUAAUUGAGCACUAGUAUGGUCAAUAAAAUCAUAGCACUGGGGAAACAGUUUUCAGAAGUUUGUGCUAUGCUUCUCUCAGCUGUUGGACAUGAAGAGCUUUAAUGACUCUCUGUCACACUAAUGGGCAUUUCUGUGUGUUUCAGCAAGUCAACCACUUCUGGUUUAUCCUGUUGGUCCCAUUACCAUUCAUCUGCAGACAAGGAUGCUCAAGGUAAGACAGACUUAGCUCCUGAAGGCCUCUGAGACUCAAAAGAGGAGGUUUGAGGUUGUUUUUCAUAGAAAAGCUAACCUUGCAAUGGACUACUUGACCAUCCGACUAUAUGUAAUAUGGCUCUGAUUUCAGUAUUAAAUUGCAUAUUUACUGGUGCAUACAUGACAGGAAGUUCAUUCAAUUAAUUUCUAAGCUUUUCCUUUUGUCUUGGAAGGCAUUUUCUUUCUUCAAAGAAGUGGCCCUGAUUCAGUGGGGGAAGGUGUAUUUUAGGCUCUUCACUGUCAUAAUGUUCAACUGAUGAAAAUAUCAUCUUUGAUAUGCUCCACUGAAAAUGUCUUGUAUGUGGAGUAGAGAUGCAUAUCCCUGGAGAAGGCUGCCCUGCAUUACAAAGCAGGUAAAUAGACAGGGAUGGAGGCACUUCAAUGAAAGUCUCCUGCAGUCCCACAUUAAUAUGCUUGGACUUAAGCUUGAUGUUUCCCAAACAGGCUAGAUGGUGCCCCUUGCUUAGAUUCUGCUCCUGACAGGCCAUAGGCUGGAGGGUGAUUCUUGCUGGACUCUGCAGUUUUCCGGCAUUCCUUGUUUGACAGAAUCCAAUUCCCUUGACCUUCAGGACAUGGAGCAGAACUCAUCACUUCCACCUGGCCUAUCCAAGUACGUAAAGCUAUGCUUCUAGAAUACUGCUGCCAUGGUUAGUUUAAUUUUAAUUUAUUGCAGAGAUGGUUUUAUGCAUAUGACUUUAUAACUGUGCACAUACCCUGAGACCUCUGAAGGUCAAACAAAUAAUAAAUGCUCAUUAAGAGCUUGGUACUUUUGCUGAAACUGGCCAACAUAGGUGUCAUUGGUGAUACUUUCAUGUGGACAAAAAGCAUCUAUGUCAAGUAGGACCUAGUAUUAAACUAUUACAGUAUUUGGCUUUGCUGCUCCAGGAAAUUAUAUGCCAGCAAUGCCUAUUCAGUCAUUAAAAUAGUGGGACAGUUUAAAACUGGGAGUUACUUGCUGUUUAAUCUAUUUUUCUGUUAAAGCACUGGACUAUUUUGGCUUAUUCUUUUUUGGUGUGUGUGUGUGUGUGUGUGUGUGUGUGUGUGUGUACAUGCAUGCAUUUACCCUGGAGAGUGGGAGUAGAGGUGGAAAGGGGGGAGAGAAAGAAUAAGUUCUCACACUGCUUAAAUAAGUCUUAUGUAGCUGUUAGAGGUUAUAGAAGGAAACCCUGAUUUUUUCCUGUGCAUGAGGUACAGAAUAGGGUACCAAGGUGACUCCCAGCUGCAGGUACAUAAUUCCUGCCGUGAAAAUCCUGGCAUCCUGAUAUUGUGUGUUCAGAGCCCUUCAAAGUGGAAGUGCUACUCUCAUCUCUGAUGUGGUGUCUCUUUACCCACAUCCCUGGGCUGCUGUGGAGGGCCUGGAUGUGGAGCAAGGAGAAUAUGCUCAGUAUGCCACAGGCCUCCCACCUGAAAAAUGCUGAAUCACUCACUGCCCUCUGGAAUGUGAAUGAAAGUUAAUUCUCUUAAAAAAUAAAACAUAGAAAAUCUGACAAUUCUGGUUGCUAACACUCAUAUAAUCUCAGCAAACAACAUAACCUAUUAAGGUAGUAGGGAAUUCUACUUUAUAAACUUUGGCGUUAUGCUAUGUUCCAAGCAUGCUCUUCUUCAUGUUAACUUAUUAAGAUAUAUCUAUGACUUAAUUAUGGACAUACCUGCUAUUCUUUGUCUUAAACAUAUUUAUAGCUAAGAAAGGAAACCUAAAAUUGGAGUUAAUUAUGCUUGUUUUAUUGGCUUAAAAGCAACCAUAACCAUAGAGCCAUUUUGAAAAUUCAGUUUUCCUUUAAAAAAAAAAAGACACAGAUCCUAGCUUUUGAUUUUAGUAAUGUAGAAUUAUUCUUAUCUUAGAAAGGUAAUCACCAUGGAUUAUUACAGUAUUCCUUUGAUGUGUCUAAUUCUUACUGUUCUGUUUUAAGAACUUUAUUCAUGUCGGUAACGACAUUGAAGUGGAGAUACUCUGUUAACUGAAAUCUCUCUGCAAUUCUUAAGUCAAACCUUUGGUCCUCAUUCUACUCCAGAGCCACUUCAGCAUUGGUCCGGAAUGCUAGAGAAGAUAAAGUAUGGAAAAGGUGUGGGAGAAUAAGAAGAUACAUUUCUAAAUUUAUUCCUCUUCCUAGCCCCUUCUCUGCAGGUUCUCCCAGGGAAUCUACCCCAAUAUUUGAUUAUGUCCCUCCCCAAAACUGAUCAGAUUAGUUUUAAUCCAUCCAAAGUUCUUGUCUUGUUUUAGGUGUCUUAGAGUUUCCUUAACGUGGACAAAUUUAAUUCAUCUUUUUAUGGCCCAAAAGAUCACCAUCAUCCUGAUUUUCAUUGUUGACUUUCCUUAUGUUUAGCUACAGGCUAAACAUAAAAAUAAAAGAAUUAUUUUAGUUCUGUCAAUCCCACAUGGCCCUACUGCAUUUAAAUUCUUAGUAAUCAGUAUAUAAUUGCUAACAAGGUGAUUUUUUUCAGCCAUAUCUUAAGACAUUGUUUUAUUUAUUUAUUUAUUUAUUUAGUCUUUUUGCCUUCUCUAGGGCCGCUUCCCACGGCAUAUGGAAGUUCCCAGGCUAGGGGUCUAUUCGGAGCUGUAGCCGCUGGCCUACACCAGAGCCACAGAGCCACGGCAACGUGGGAUCCUAGCUGUGUCUGCGAUCUACACCUCAGCUCACAGCAACGCCGGAUCCUUAACCCACUGAGCAAGGCCAGGGAUUGAACCCACAACCUCAUGGUUCCUAGUUGGAUUCGAUAACCACUGCGCCAUGAUGGGAACUCCUUUUUUUUUUUUUUUUUAAAGACAUUGUUUUAGACUCACAGGCUUCUCAAGGUCCAGGCAAUCAUACCCAGAAUGAGUGAAGGCAAAGUCAAUAAUAA